GACGAACGCUGGCGGCGUGCCUAAUACAUGCAAGUAGAACGCUGAAGGAGGAGCUUGCUCUUCUGGAUGAGUUGCGAACGGGUGAGUAACGCGUAGGUAACCUGCCUGGUAGCGGGGGAUAACUAUUGGAAACGAUAGCUAAUACCGCAUAACAGUAGAUGUUGCAUGACAUUUGCUUAAAAGGUGCAAUUGCACCACUACCAGAUGGACCUGCGUUGUAUUAGCUAGUUGGUGGGGUAACGGCUCACCAAGGCGACGAUACAUAGCCGACCUGAGAGGGUGAUCGGCCACACUGGGACUGAGACACGGCCCAGACUCCUACGGGAGGCAGCAGUAGGGAAUCUUCGGCAAUGGACGGAAGUCUGACCGAGCAACGCCGGGUGAGUGAAGAAGGUUUUCGGAUCGUAAAGCUCUGUUGUAAGAGAAGAACGAGUGUGAGAGUGGAAAGUUCACACUGUGACGGUAUCUUACCAGAAAGGGACGGCUAACUACGUG
This 495-nucleotide ribosomal RNA is filed under the name uncultured bacterium. RNAcentral's name for it is "partial 16S ribosomal RNA". It matches the Rfam family "Bacterial small subunit ribosomal RNA", at positions 28 to 507 of the family's 1533-position model. The record is from RNAcentral.